This 253-nucleotide ribosomal RNA is filed under the name uncultured bacterium. RNAcentral describes it as "partial 16S ribosomal RNA". It matches the Rfam family "Bacterial small subunit ribosomal RNA", at positions 524 to 776 of the family's 1533-position model. The record is from RNAcentral.
UACGAAAGGGGCUAGCGUUGUUCGGAUUUAUUGGCCGUAAAGCGCACGCAGGCGGUUUGGUAAGUCAGGGGUGAAAUUCUGCAGCUUAACUGCGGAACUGCCUUUGAAACUGCCUUUCUAGAGUGCAUGAGGGGGGAGCGGAAUUCCGAGUGUAGAGGUGAAAUUCGUAGAUAUUCGGAGGAACACCGGUGGCGAAGGCGGCUUCCUGGCAUGUAACUGACGCUCAUGUGCGAAAGCGUGGGGAGCAAACAGG